Molecule: ribosomal RNA, 468 nt
Filed under: uncultured bacterium
Lineage: Bacteria
Description: partial 16S ribosomal RNA
Rfam family: Bacterial small subunit ribosomal RNA
Source: RNAcentral
GACGAACGCUGGCGGCGUGCUUAACACAUGCAAGUCGAACGGAAAGGCCCUGCUUUUGUGGGGUGCUCGAGUGGCGAACGGGUGAGUAACACGUGAGUAACCUGCCCUUGACUUUGGGAUAACUUCAGGAAACUGGGGCUAAUACCGGAUAGGAGCUCCUGCUGCAUGGUGGGGGUUGGAAAGUUUCGGCGGUUGGGGAUGGACUCGCGCCUUAUCAGCUUGUUGGUGGGGUAGUGGCUUACCAAGGCUUUGACGGGUAGCCGGCCUGGGAGGGUGACCGGCCACAUUGGGACUGAGAUGCGGCCCAGACUACUACGGGACGCAGCAGUGGGGAAUAUUGCACAAUGGGCGGAAGCCUGAUGCAGCCACGCCGCGUGCGGGAUGACGGCCUUCGGGUUGUAAACCGCUUUCGCCUGUGACGAAGCGUGAGUGACGGUAAUGGGUAAAGAAGCACCGGCUAACUACGUG